UUCCAGGUUCUAAAAGCACACCUCUGAGGAAGAGGCUGCCAGACCAGAAGCACCGUUCCUUCAAUUUCUAGUUUGACGAAUCUCGUUAAUGAUUAGCAGUUCCAGCCCUGGGGGAGCGAAGAAUCCUCCCCCGUCUGCCAGGAGGUGCAGAGCCAGAGCGUGAAGGAGGAGCAGGUUCUCAGUGGAAGUCCCCCCUCAGAUGCUACGUUGGACAUCCACAUCAGGUGCUUCUACAAAAAAAGCUGACCACCCUCCAUCCAGAAAUUAUUGAAUUCUUGGUGA
Molecule: long non-coding RNA, 282 nt
Organism: Mustela lutreola (European mink)
Lineage: Eukaryota; Metazoa; Chordata; Mammalia; Carnivora; Mustelidae
Exons: 2
Source: RefSeq, a predicted model, not a curated record